RNAcentral lists this ribosomal RNA (672 nucleotides) under uncultured bacterium. RNAcentral's name for it is "bacterial SSU rRNA". It matches the Rfam family "Bacterial small subunit ribosomal RNA", at positions 744 to 1399 of the family's 1533-position model. The record is from RNAcentral.
CGCUGAGGAAGCGAAAAGCGUGGAGAAGCGAACAGGAUUAGAUACCCUGGUUAGUCCACGCCGUAAAACGCUGGGACGCUGGAUGUGGGGCCCCAUUUCCACGGGGUUCCGUGUCGGAGCUAACGCGAUUAAAACGUCCCGCCUGGGGAGUACGGCCGCAAGGCUAAAAACUCAAAGAAAAUUGAACGGGGGCCCGCACAAGCGGCGGAGCAUGCGGAUUAAUUCGAUGCAACGCGAAGAACCUUACCUGGGCUUGACAUGUGCCUGUCGACUGCAGAGAUGUGGUUUCCCUUCGGGGCAGGUUCACAGGUGGUGCAUGGUCGUCGUCAGCUCGUGUCGUGAGAUGUUGGGUUAAGUCCCGCAACGAGCGCAACCCUCGCCCUGUGUUGCCAGCGGGUUAUGCCGGGAACUCACGGGGGACCGCCGGGGUUAACUCGGAGGAAGGUGGGGAUGACGUCAGAUCAUCAUGCCCCUUACGUCCAGGGCUUCACGCAUGCUACAAUGGCCGGUACAACGGGAUGCGACAUGGUGACAUGGAGCGGAUCCCUUAAAACCGGUCUCAGUUCGGAUCGUAGUCUGCAACUCGACUACGUGAAGGCGGAGUCGCUAGUAAUCGCGAAUCAGCAACGUCGCGGUGAAUGCGUUCCCGGGCCUUGUGCACACCGCCCGUCA